RNAcentral lists this ribosomal RNA (110 nucleotides) under Heterocephalus glaber (naked mole-rat). The record is from RNAcentral. Lineage: Eukaryota; Metazoa; Chordata; Mammalia; Rodentia; Bathyergidae.
GUCUACAGCCAUACCACCCUGAACACGCCCGAUCUCGUCUGAUCUCAGAAGGUAAGCAGGGUCGGGCCUGGUUAGUACUUGGAUGGAAGAAUUAUAGCUUAUGAUAUAAU